This 505-nucleotide ribosomal RNA is filed under the name uncultured bacterium. RNAcentral describes it as "partial 16S ribosomal RNA". It matches the Rfam family "Bacterial small subunit ribosomal RNA", at positions 28 to 507 of the family's 1533-position model. The record is from RNAcentral.
GACGAACGCUGGCGGCGUGCCUAAUACAUGCAAGUAGAACGCACAGUUUAUACCGUAGCUUGCUACACCAUAAACUGUGAGUUGCGAACGGGUGAGUAACGCGUAGGUAACCUGCCUGGUAGCGGGGGAUAACUAUUGGAAACGAUAGCUAAUACCGCAUAAUAUUGAUUAUUGCAUGAUAAUUGAUUGCAAGAUGCUAUUGCAUCCCUACCAGAUGGACCUGCGUUGUAUUAGCUAGUAGGUGAGGUAACGGCUCACCUAGGCGACGAUACAUAGCCGAACGGAGAGGGUGAGCGGCCACCCUGGGAGUGAGACACGGCCCAGACUCCUACGGGAGGGAGCAGUAGGGAAUCUGCGGCAAUGGACGAAAGUCUGACCGAGCAACGCCGAGUGAGUGAAGAAGGUUGUCGGGUCGUAAAGCUCUGUUGUAAGAGAAGAACGGGUGUGAGAGUGGAAAGUUCACACUGUGACGGUAUCUUACCAGAAAGGGACGGCUAACUACGUG